GGGUGAGAUGCUCUGCAAGAUUUGAAAACGUCCCGAUUUUUAUUCCUGAAGAGUUAAAUGACGUGGAUUUACACUGACAUACGCAUACAGGCAGCUUUUUUCCCCCCCCAGGUACAGAAGUGAGUGCCUGGUGUGACACCUGUGAACGGAGCUGCACAAAGCAGCAGUGACAGCGUGGUUCCCGCAGCAGAACUCAGUGCCACGCUGCUGCUCACUGCUCCAGCUUCCCUUCUCCUGGGUGAGUGAGUGACGAGGCGUCUCCUGUUCUCUGUACACAGUCAUCUGUCAACAACCGCUUUCUCAAUUAGUCCUGGUGUGUGUGUGGGGGCGGCGUGGAGGAGCAGAUGAUCCCUGAUAAUAGUACAUUAUCAACAGGGGGAGGUUUCAUUUUCUCUGAAUAGAAAACACGUCUGAAUAGUUGCACGUCUCCCAGACGCUGUGAAAUCUGGAGGGGAAUUCAGGCCUUCGUUUUUACUGUGGGGUUGUCUGAAAGCACGUGUAGAUCUCAUUUCUUCUGACAAAUGCAGGACGUACUGCUGAGUGCUGCUGCAGUGUCUGGCUGUGAG
This 566-nucleotide long non-coding RNA is filed under the name Gallus gallus (chicken). RNAcentral describes it as "long non-coding RNA NONGGAT002244". The record is from RNAcentral. Lineage: Eukaryota; Metazoa; Chordata; Aves; Galliformes; Phasianidae.